UGAGGAAUAUUGCACAAUGGGCGCAAGCCUGAUGCAGCAACGCCGCGUGCGGGACGAAGGCCUUCGGGUCGUAAACCGCUUUUCUGGGGAAAGAGCAAGGACGGUACCUCAGGAAUAAGUCUCGGCUAACUACGUGCCAGCAGCCGCGGUAAAACGUAGGAGGCGAGCGUUAUCCGGAUUUACUGGGCGUAAAGCGCACGCAGGCGGCUCUGUGAGUCGGACGUGAAAGCUCCCGGCUUAACCGGGAGAGGCCGUUCGAUACUGCGGAGCUUGAGGUAGGGAGAGGAAUGCGGAAUUCCCGGUGUAGUGGUGGAAUGCGUAGAUAUCGGGAGGAACACCUGUGGCGAAAGCGGCAUUCUGGCCCUCACCUGACGCUGAGACGCGAAAGCUAGGGUAGCAAACGG
Molecule: ribosomal RNA, 404 nt
Filed under: uncultured bacterium
Lineage: Bacteria
Description: bacterial SSU rRNA
Rfam family: Bacterial small subunit ribosomal RNA
Source: RNAcentral